RNAcentral lists this ribosomal RNA (252 nucleotides) under uncultured bacterium. RNAcentral describes it as "partial 16S ribosomal RNA". It matches the Rfam family "Bacterial small subunit ribosomal RNA", at positions 524 to 776 of the family's 1533-position model. The record is from RNAcentral.
UACGAAGGGGGCUAGCGUUGCUCGGAAUCACUGGGCGUAAAGGGUGCGUAGGCGGGUCUUUAAGUCAGGGGUGAAAUCCUGGAGCUCAACUCCAGAACUGCCUUUGAUACUGAAGAUCUUGAGUUCGGGAGAGGUGAGUGGAACUGCGAGUGUAGAGGUGAAAUCGUAGAUAUUCGCAAGAACACCAGUGGCGAAGGCGGCUCACUGGCCCGAUACUGACGCUGAGGCACGAAAGCGUGGGGAGCAAACAGG